Molecule: ribosomal RNA, 580 nt
Filed under: Lepas sp. SKG-2005
Lineage: Eukaryota; Metazoa; Arthropoda; Thecostraca; Lepadidae
Description: SSU rRNA
Rfam family: Eukaryotic small subunit ribosomal RNA
Source: RNAcentral
AAGCUGUUGCGGUUAAAAAGCUCGUAGUUGGAUAUCAGUGCGUUUCGGUUCGGCAUGCCCGGUGCGUUAUGGCGUUCGCGCGAUGACGCCCGGGCUCCCAAAUGUCGGCCCAGCGCAUUCAAUGGCGUCGGACACAGCAGCCGCCUUUCGGGGGGGCCAGCUGGCGACUGGCGGUGUUACCUUGAACAAAUUAGAGUGCUCAAAGCAGGCUCGCAAUGCCUGUAUACAUAUUCAUGGAAUUGGAGAAUACGUCCCUGGCUCGAUUUGGUUGGUUUUGAGAGUCGAAGGGAAAUGAUUAAUAGGGACUGACGGAGGCAUUCGUAUUGCGACGCGAGGGGUGAAAUCCUGUGACCGUCGCACGACGAACUACUGCGAAAGCAUUUGCCGAGAAUGUUUUCAUUAGUCAAGAACGAAAGUUAGAGGUUCGAAGGCGAUCAGAUACCGCCCUAGUUCUAACCGUAAACGAUGUCGACCAGCAAUCCGCAACGGUCACUCAAAGGACUGUGCGGGCAGCUUUCCCGGAGAAAUCAGAGUGUUCGGACUCCGGGGGAAGUAUGGUUGCAAAGCUGAAACUUAAAGG